Molecule: long non-coding RNA, 3151 nt
Filed under: Sus scrofa (pig)
Lineage: Eukaryota; Metazoa; Chordata; Mammalia; Artiodactyla; Suidae
Description: lncRNA (ENSSSCG00060000147.1)
Source: RNAcentral
AUAAAACUGGGCGUUCCUGCUGUGGCUCAGUGGAAAUGAACUCAACUAGCAUCCAUGAGGAGGGGGGUUCAAUCCCUGGCCUUGAUCAGUGGGUUAAGGAUCUGUCAUUGCCAUGAGUUGUGGUGUAGGUUGCAGAUGUGGCUCAGGUCUGGCUCUGGUAUAGGCUGGCAGCUGUAGCUCCAAUUUGACCCCUAGCCCCACUUCCAUAUGCCCCACCUGCAGCCCUAAAAAGCAAAAAAGGCAAAAAAAAAAAAAUUUGAUAAAACUAGUAGACAGAAAAGCAGCAAGCAUAUGGAAGGACUAAGUAACAAUUGUGUAAAUGAAUGUAAUCAACAUUUAUAGUAUACUUUACACAACAGUAUUAGAAUACACACUCUUCAAGUGUGUAUAGAACAUUCACCAAAAUAGACCCUAUCUUGGAUCAUAGUUUAGAUCAUAAAGCAAACUGAAACUAUACAUCUUGUGUUCUUUGACAUGAUGUGAUUAAAUGAGAAAUUAAUAACAAAGAGGAAACCUUUCAAACACUUGGACAUAAAUACACCUUUAAAUAGCCUAUGAGUCAAAGAGGAAGACUUGAACAGACAGUUGAUCGAUGAGGAUAGAGGGAUGGCAAAUAAAUGCAUGAAAAGAUGUUCAACAUCAUUACCCACUGGGAAAAUGCAUACGAAAACCAUGAUGCGAUACUACUUACUAAACAUCUAUUAGAAUGGAAUCCUACUCCUGAGUAUUUACCCUAGAGCAAUGGAAACAUAUAUUCACACAAAAGCCUACACAUGGAUAUUUGUAGUAGUUCUGUAUAUAGUUGCCCCAAACUGAAAACAGCCUAAAUGUCCUUCAGUAGGUGAAUGACACAUACAAUGGAAUAGUAUUCAGCAAGAAAAAGGCAUGAACUAUAAUAUAAGCACAUGAAAGAACUUGCAUGGAUCUCAAGAGCAUUAUGCUGAGUGGGAAAAAGAUCUCUAAAGGUUCCUGUAUAAUUCCAUUUAUAUAACAGUCUGGAAAUUAAAAAAACUGUAGAAAUGAGAAUAGCUCUGUGAGAAAGACUAGGGGAGGAAGAGAGUAUAAAGUGGUAGCCUGAGGGAGUUUCUUUUUUUGGGUGGAACUAUUCUGUAUCAUUAUUGUAGUUAUAUGAAUCUCUACGCAUAUUAAAAUUCAUUGAACUGUGCACAAGAAAGCUUUGCUGUCAAUUUAAAUGAAAAAAAAAUUUUUUUUUUUUUGGCUUUUUUGCUAUUUCUUUGGGCCACUCCUGCGGUAUAUGGAGGUUCCCAGGCUAGGGGUCGAAUCGGAGCUGCAGCCACCGGCCUACGCCAGAGCCACAGCAACGCAGGAUCCGAGCCGAGUCUGCAACCUACACCACAGCUCACGGCAACGCCGGAUCCUUAACCCACUGAGCAAGGGCAGGGACCGAACCCGCAACCUCAUGGUUCCUAGUCGGAUUCGUUAACCACUGCGCCACGAUGGGAACUCCUGAAAAAUUUUUAAAUAGGAGUUCCUGUCGUGGUUCAGCAGUUAACAAACCCGACUAGGAUCCACAAGGAUGCGGGUUUGAUCCCUGGCCUCGCUCAGUGGGUUAAGGAUUCGGCGUUGCCGUGAGCUGUGUUGUAGCUCACAGACAUGGCUCAGAUCCCACAUUGCUGUGGCUGUGGUAUAGGCCAGCGGCCACAGCUCUGAUUGGACCCAUAGCCUGGGAACCUCCAUAGGCCAUGGGUGCAGCCCUGAAAAAAAGACCAAAAUAAAAUAAAAUAAAAUAAAAAUUCUAAAACCAAUAGGCAAAGAUUGUGGCUUAACCUUUCACAAAAUUGCCAUAAAAUAAAAUUAAGAAAAAAAUGCCACAAACUAUUAUAUACAGAAUGGAUAAACAACAAUGUCCUAUUGUAUUGCACAGGACAAUAUAUUCAAUAUCCUAUAAUAAACUAUAGUGCGAAAGAAUAUGAAAAAAAUCACUUUGGUGUAGAGCAGAAAUUAACAACAUUGUAAAUCAACUAUACAACUAUACUUUAAAAAAAUAAAACAACAAAACUGUCAAAAUGUUUCAAAACAAGAUUCACAUUUCUGAAAAUGGUAAACACUCAAAUAAUAAUACAACAGAAUUUUUAAAAACUCAGAUAUGAGGUGUUUGGAGAAAAAAAUCCACAAAGAUGGUGAUAGAACUCAGUAAAUAAUUAGAAGUAAAAUUAAACAUCAUUUCAGAGGUGAGGAUCAAACUUGAAGGAAAAUAAAAAUGAAAAUGCAUGACAGAUAAUGCCUUGAGAGAAACAGGAAUUGGAAGGAGAAAAAAAAUUUCAAAAUCAAAAAGAAAUGAAGGAGAGAGGAGGAAUUAGAAUAUAAUAGAUACAUAAGUUAGGCAGUGAAAAAUCUGCCAAUAAGAAUUCCAAUAAGAGUACAAUAGAACAGAACAAUUGCGAAAAUUGAUUCAGGAUAACUAAAAUUAAAGACAAAAGGACUGAAGCUAUAUUUUGAAAAAGGAAACCAUGUGUUCAGGAGGUCAUAACUUUGGCCAUCCAGGCAUAAAUUCACCUGAAAGGAAAAUCAGAUUGUCAUCUGGCCUUUUUAUUUUUUUUUACAGCCACAUCUGUGGCGUAUGGAAGUUCCUGGGCCAAGGGUUGAAUUGGAGCUGUAGCUGCUGGCCUACACCACAGCCACAGCACUGUGGGAUCCUUCCACUGAGUGAGGCCAGGGAUUGAACCCACAUCCUCAUGGAUACUAGUCAGGUUAUUAACCAGCUGAGCCACAGCAGGAACUCCUCAUCUGGCUUUUCUACAGCAAAGCUUUAUUCCAGAAGACAAUGCCUAUUUUUCUGUUUAAGUUAUAAAAAGAUGUCGAUUUUGAGCCAAGAAUUUUAUAUCUAACCAAAUUGUUAUAUAUGUGUGCAGAAGCUCAGGGAGUAUUAUUUCCCUAACCCCUUCCCAAGGAAUCAAUCAGAAGAUGAGCUUCAGAACAUGGAAACUGAGGAGUUCCCAUCAUGGCUCAGCAGUUAAUGAACCCGACUAGCAUCCAUGAAGAUGCGGGUUUGAUCCCUGGCCUUGCUCAGUGGGUUAAAGAUCCAGCAUUGCUGUGAGCUGUGGUGUAGGUUGCAGAUGUGGUUUGGAUCCCACAUUGCUGUAGCUGUGGCAAUUUGACCUCUAGUCUGGGAACUUCCAUAUGCCGUGAU